Molecule: ribosomal RNA, 463 nt
Filed under: uncultured Desulfobulbus sp.
Lineage: Bacteria; Pseudomonadati; Thermodesulfobacteriota; Desulfobulbia; Desulfobulbales; Desulfobulbaceae
Description: bacterial SSU rRNA
Rfam family: Bacterial small subunit ribosomal RNA
Source: RNAcentral
ACAAGCGGUGGAGUAUGUGGUUUAAUUCGAUGACAACGCGAAGAACUUACCUGGUCUUGACAUCCCGGAGACCCUUAGGAAACUAGGGGGUGCUUCCAUCUGGAAGAAUCUGGAGACAGGUGCUGCAUGGCUGUCGUCAGCUCGUGUCGUGAGAUGUUGGGUUAAGUCCCGCAACGAGCGCAACCCUUGCCUUUAGUUGCCAGCAGUUCGGCUGGGCACUCUAAAGGGACUGCCGGUGUUAAACCGGAGGAAGGUGGGGAUGACGUCAAGUCCUCAUGGCCUUUAUGACCAGGGCUACACACGUACUACAAUGGCCGAUACAAAGGGCAGCGACACUGCGAGGUGAAGCCAAUCCCGUAAAAUCGGUCUCAGUCCGGAUUGGAGUCUGCAACUCGACUCCAUGAAGUUGGAAUCGCUAGUAAUCGUGGAUCAGCAUGCCACGGUGAAUACGUUCCCGGGCCUU